Manacus vitellinus (golden-collared manakin) is the source of this 194-nucleotide long non-coding RNA. RefSeq lists it as uncharacterized. The record is from RefSeq and is a predicted model, not a curated record. The transcript is spliced from 2 exons. NCBI's taxonomy places the organism in Eukaryota, Metazoa, Chordata, Aves, Passeriformes, Pipridae.
ACCUGGUGGAGCUGCUGCGUGAGUGACGCUCGGCUGCCUCUCUGCAUGUCCAGGACUGGAAGUGGUGGUGACACCCGUGUCCUGGCCCCCUCCAGCGGCAUGAGGAGAUGAUCAUCCCUGGAGGACCCCCCUGAUCCCCUGGGUGCCCUGGCAAUUUCCCUGCAAGAAUCAAUAAACCCCUGCAGCAAAACAAA